RNAcentral lists this long non-coding RNA (1152 nucleotides) under Homo sapiens (human). Its description in RNAcentral is "HSALNT0022970". The record is from RNAcentral. Lineage: Eukaryota; Metazoa; Chordata; Mammalia; Primates; Hominidae.
GGGGAGUUUUCCUUCACAAGUUCUCUCUUUGCUUGCUGCCAUCCAUGUAAGAUGUGACUUGCUUCUCCUUGCCUUCCGCCAUGAUUGUGAGGCUUCCCCAGCCACGUGGAACUGCUUUUAGGCUCCUUAUCAACACAAGAAUGGACAUCAAGUUACUUACAUAUUGGGCCAAAAUAUUGAGUGCAGAUGAAAAUAAAUGCUGACUUUGAAGAUUUCCCAUCCAGCCCGCAGAAAUUCCCCUGGCCUGCCACACUUGGGUAACUUGAGUUCUGGAAUUCCAGACGUGGUUAACCCCAAUCCACAAAUUUGCUGGAGUUAUGAAGCUGAGUGAGAGUACUGCUUUUCUAUUAUGCAUUCCCAAUAUGUUCUGUUCUGAGCUGACACCACAGAAUUUACUUCUCCCACAAGUUUAACCCACUGCAUGGAGUGAUCAUGGCUCACUGUUUUUUGGUAAAUACCAAAAUACAGAUAACAGUUUUUCACAGUACAAAUUUUAUAUCUGACUUGGCUGGAAACUUCCCCAGUCACUCCGUCUAGUUGCCUCAUUUUGUUGGGCCUUGGUUUCUUUCAGUUUCCUACUAAAACUUACCUCUUUGGGGAGGCAUGAGUAUCAAUGCUUGGCUACCAAUCCAGGUAAGGCCUCUGAAUGAAAGGUGAUAUGGAAGGGCACAAACGAUCUGGAUACCUAUCCCCUGGGAAAGUCCAGGCCUCAGGCCACAGCAAUGCCACAGCUUCUGGAAGCUGCCUGGGAACUGAGGUUUUAUUCUCCUGUGUGUGUCUACAUGCCUGGAGUGUUGACUCUGGAGACCUAUGAAUACAGUAAAUGACAUCAUAGGUAGCUCAGGUCAAUGAAGAUUUAUUUUUAGCUAUGACCCUUGUCUGUUAAAUGAUCUGAAUUUAAAAAGAAAGAGGACACGGAAGAAGGAAAAGAAAUGUGAAAGGCAAUGAAAGAAUGUAAGAUUCCUGCUUGAUCUUAAAAAGCACUAGAGCAAAAGUCAAGCACAGCUUUCUUAUUUCUUUUCAACCAGAAGGGUGUUACAGGAGAAAUGUAUGAAGGGCGGAGGAUAUGCCCUCUUGUGAGAAUUCUGUCUCUUCCCUGCAGUUACUCAUUUUGAGAAUGUGGCUCCCAGUGUCUACAGUGGAGGUGGGCUC